This 83-nucleotide microRNA precursor is filed under the name Cephalotus follicularis. RNAcentral's name for it is "mir-156 microRNA precursor family". It matches the Rfam family "mir-156 microRNA precursor family". From Rfam's summary of the family: This family represents the plant microRNA (miRNA) precursor mir-156. Lineage: Eukaryota; Viridiplantae; Streptophyta; Magnoliopsida; Oxalidales; Cephalotaceae. The record is from Rfam by way of RNAcentral.
CUGACAGAAGAGAGUGAGCACAAGCAGGCAUUUGUAUGAAGAGCAUGCCUUUGCAGGCCUGUGCUCACAUCUCUUUCUGUCAG